ACCAUCAUAAAAAUAAUUACAAAAUGUACCCCAUUUUUUUUUUGAAAAAUUUAUUAAAUAGAUUUUGAUCCCUUUAACUUUUGUUAUUUACACUUUUUCCCUUUAUCUUUUAGUUUCAGAUUCAAAGAAGAAGAGAGGUCUGCUAGGGUUUAUAGAUUCAAUUUCAAUCAACGACAUUUACUCAUCUUCUUCCUCUGCUGUAUCUCUGGUUCGCCUAUUCUUGCCGCCACAACACGCAUCAGACGCCGCCGCUCCCUGCGUCUGCCGCCACUCCUCACAGACUCGGAGGAACGAACUAUCAGUAUCACCACCCUGUUAAAUUUCGCAGAGAAAGAAUGAGAACCAGAGCGACCCUUGAUGACACUGAAAUAGGACAACUUUUCUCAACCCUACUUCUUGUUGAGGACGACAAACCCAGCAAGGAAGUAGAGGAAAGUGUAAAAGUGCUAAAAGAUGCAGCUAAGACGAGAAAGGUAGCAGCAGAGAAGGUUCUGUCUGCACUUUUUGUCAUUGAGAAAGCGAAAAUUGAUCCUUCUGGCUUUCUUGAAACCCUGGGUGGCAAUGAAUCCCCUGGGAGGACAUGAAUGCUAAUUUUCACCGCUGAGGUGAACAUAUUUGUAUUACUUUUUUGUUUGCUCGUUCUUUGGCUAGUAGUUUGAUCAUGGCCUUGACAUUUGUUUUCAGUCUAUGGAGUAUGUAGUGAUAAAAUUAUGAUUCUUCCUCAGCUUAA
This is a non-coding RNA of Arachis ipaensis, 730 nucleotides long. The record is from RefSeq and is a predicted model, not a curated record. NCBI's taxonomy places the organism in Eukaryota, Viridiplantae, Streptophyta, Magnoliopsida, Fabales, Fabaceae.